GACGAACGCUGGCCGGCGUGCCUAUACAUGCAAGUCGAACGAGAGCGACCGGUGCUUGCACUGGUCAAUCUAGUGGCGAACGGGUGAGUAACACGUGGGUAACCUGCCCAUCAGAGGGGGAUAACAUCCGGAAACGGAUGCUAAAACCGCAUAGGUCUUCGAACCGCAUGGUUUGAAGAGGAAAAGAGGCGCAAGCUUCUGCUGAUGGAUGGACCCGCGGUGCAUUAGCUAGUUGGUGAGGUAACGGCUCACCAAGGCCGUGAUGCAUAGCCGACCUGAGAGGGUGAUCGGCCACAUUGGGACUGAGACACGGCCCAAACUCCUACGGGAGGCAGCAGUAGGGAAUCUUCCGCAAUGGACGCAAGUCUGACGGAGCAACGCCGCGUGAGUGAAGAAGGUUUUCGGAUCGUAAAACUCUGUUGUUAGAGAAGAACAAGUGCUAGAGUAACUGUUAGCGCCUUGACGGUAUCUAACCAGAAAGCCACGGCUAACUACGUGCCAGCAGCCGCGGUAAUACGUAGGUGGCAAGCGUUGUCCGGAUUUAUUGGGCGUAAAGCGAGCGCAGGCGGUUCCUUAAGUCUGAUGUGAAAGCCCCCGGCUCAACCGGGGAGGGUCAUUGGAAACUGGGGAACUUGAGUGCAGAAGAGGAGAGUGGAAUUCCAUGUGUAGCGGUGAAAUGCGUAGAUAUAUGGAGGAACACCAGUGGCGAAGGCGACUCUCUGGUCUGUAACUGACGCUGAGGCUCGAAAGCGUGGGUAGCAAACAGG
RNAcentral lists this ribosomal RNA (767 nucleotides) under uncultured Granulicatella sp. RNAcentral describes it as "bacterial SSU rRNA". It matches the Rfam family "Bacterial small subunit ribosomal RNA", at positions 28 to 776 of the family's 1533-position model. The record is from RNAcentral. Lineage: Bacteria; Bacillati; Bacillota; Bacilli; Lactobacillales; Carnobacteriaceae.